UUUCCCUAUUUUUCUUCUUUCUCUCUCUUUGGUCUCUCUCUCUUGGCUCUCAGGUCUGUCUCUCCCAAUAUUUUUUGGUUACAUUUAUCAUAUAAAAUCUUUGAUCUACCAAAAUCUAUUAAGUUUCAGAUCAUAGUUCUUAAGAUCAAAGUGAAGAGCUUGGAGGGAGCAACGUUUUGACCGGUGGAGAUCGAAAUCCAACAAAGUCAAAAAUUGAGGUUUUUGCUUGUUUCCUCUUCUAGCUUGAGGUAUAGGUGCUAUGCCUCCGCCAAGACAUUGACUUGAAAGAACUUCGAGCUGAGGCAUCAUUUUUGUUUUAUUGUUAUUUGUUGAAUGUAAGCCGAGGGUUGUAUUUGCGUUGAGUUGAAACUCCAUUUUGUGUAAUCAAGAAUGUUCUUGGAUGAAUUUGUAAGCCUGUAAGGCACUUAUUAUCUGUUUGACUUCCAUUUCAUACUUGUUGUAACAUGUAUGCUUUGGAUUGGAGUUGGGGCAUUGAUAUGUGAAUAACAUGUAUUUGGCAUU
Long non-coding RNA from Camellia sinensis, 522 nucleotides. RefSeq lists it as uncharacterized. The record is from RefSeq and is a predicted model, not a curated record. NCBI's taxonomy places the organism in Eukaryota, Viridiplantae, Streptophyta, Magnoliopsida, Ericales, Theaceae.